CAGAAACGCACAGAGACCGAUACGUAGCUGCUCUCAAAGCCGCUCAGCUCCAGUGUUGUCGGGUAUUGAAAACUAUUGGACUCAUCUGUUUGUUUCCAAAGAUCUGUACUAACACGGCAGCUAUGAAGUCAGUCGCUUCUGAGAUGAACACAAAUAAAACUGUGAAAGAUCUUAGGCCUGGGCCAUAGAUCAUUCCUGAGGGCAGAGCUGAACCCUAUGGACAGGAUUGGGAAGGAGGGUUUCCUGUAAAAGGACUGGAGAGACGAAAAUGAGACCCAUCAUGAGAAAUCCAUGGGUCGGACUUGACUGGCCUCACUGUUCUAAAGACGCUGACCCAGAGCAGCACACGUUAGAAAUGAUGGGUGAUGUUUAGCCUGAGUUUAAAUUCUGCUUCAGUGGUAUGUGACCUUGGUAAGGUAUUUAACUUGCCUGUACUCCGGUUUCUUUAUGGAGAUGGUGUGAGGAUUAAGUAAGAUUGCGCUCUCAAUAUUGUUAUUUUUACCCCACCCCCAACUCCAGACUUAACCAAAAAUUCGAGGAAAUCCUGAAUUUAAAAUGAUGCAUUGGGCUUCCCUGGUGGCGCAGUGGUGGAGAGUCCGCCUGCCGAUGCAGGGGACGCGGGUUCGUGCCCCGGUCCGGGAAGAUCCCACGUGCCGCGGGGCGGCUGGGCCCGUGAGCCAUGGCUGCUGAGCCUGCGCGUCCGGAGCCUGUGCUCCGCAACGGGAGAGGCCACAACAGUGAG
Long non-coding RNA from Orcinus orca (killer whale), 742 nucleotides. RefSeq lists it as uncharacterized. The transcript is spliced from 2 exons. The record is from RefSeq and is a predicted model, not a curated record. NCBI's taxonomy places the organism in Eukaryota, Metazoa, Chordata, Mammalia, Artiodactyla, Delphinidae.